This 2763-nucleotide ribosomal RNA is filed under the name Escherichia coli. Its description in RNAcentral is "bacterial LSU rRNA". It matches the Rfam family "Bacterial large subunit ribosomal RNA". Lineage: Bacteria; Pseudomonadati; Pseudomonadota; Gammaproteobacteria; Enterobacterales; Enterobacteriaceae. The record is from RNAcentral.
UUAAGCGACUAAGCGUACACGGUGGAUGCCCUGGCAGUCAGAGGCGAUGAAGGACGUGCUAAUCUGCGAUAAGCGUCGGUAAGGUGAUAUGAACCGUUAUAACCGGCGAUUUCCGAAUGGGGAAACCCAGUGUGUUUCGACACACUAUCAUUAACUGAAUCCAUAGGUUAAUGAGGCGAACCGGGGGAACUGAAACAUCUAAGUACCCCGAGGAAAAGAAAUCAACCGAGAUUCCCCCAGUAGCGGCGAGCGAACGGGGAGCAGCCCAGAGCCUGAAUCAGUGUGUGUGUUAGUGGAAGCGUCUGGAAAGGCGCGCGAUACAGGGUGACAGCCCCGUACACAAAAAUGCACAUGCUGUGAGCUCGAUGAGUAGGGCGGGACACGUGGUAUCCUGUCUGAAUAUGGGGGGACCAUCCUCCAAGGCUAAAUACUCCUGACUGACCGAUAGUGAACCAGUACCGUGAGGGAAAGGCGAAAAGAACCCCGGCGAGGGGAGUGAAAAAGAACCUGAAACCGUGUACGUACAAGCAGUGGGAGCACGCUUAGGCGUGUGACUGCGUACCUUUUGUAUAAUGGGUCAGCGACUUAUAUUCUGUAGCAAGGUUAACCGAAUAGGGGAGCCGAAGGGAAACCGAGUCUUAACUGGGCGUUAAGUUGCAGGGUAUAGACCCGAAACCCGGUGAUCUAGCCAUGGGCAGGUUGAAGGUUGGGUAACACUAACUGGAGGACCGAACCGACUAAUGUUGAAAAAUUAGCGGAUGACUUGUGGCUGGGGGUGAAAGGCCAAUCAAACCGGGAGAUAGCUGGUUCUCCCCGAAAGCUAUUUAGGUAGCGCCUCGUGAAUUCAUCUCCGGGGGUAGAGCACUGUUUCGGCAAGGGGGUCAUCCCGACUUACCAACCCGAUGCAAACUGCGAAUACCGGAGAAUGUUAUCACGGGAGACACACGGCGGGUGCUAACGUCCGUCGUGAAGAGGGAAACAACCCAGACCGCCAGCUAAGGUCCCAAAGUCAUGGUUAAGUGGGAAACGAUGUGGGAAGGCCCAGACAGCCAGGAUGUUGGCUUAGAAGCAGCCAUCAUUUAAAGAAAGCGUAAUAGCUCACUGGUCGAGUCGGCCUGCGCGGAAGAUGUAACGGGGCUAAACCAUGCACCGAAGCUGCGGCAGCGACGCUUAUGCGUUGUUGGGUAGGGGAGCGUUCUGUAAGCCUGNGCUGGAGGUAUCAGAAGUGCGAAUGCUGACAUAAGUAACGAUAAAGCGGGUGAAAAGCCCGCUCGCCGGAAGACCAAGGGUUCCUGUCCAACGUUAAUCGGGGCAGGGUGAGUCGACCCCUAAGGCGAGGCCGAAAGGCGUAGUCGAUGGGAAACAGGUUAAUAUUCCUGUACUUGGUGUUACUGCGAAGGGGGGACGGAGAAGGCUAUGUUGGCCGGGCGACGGUUGUCCCGGUUUAAGCGUGUAGGCUGGUUUUCCAGGCAAAUCCGGAAAAUCAAGGCUGAGGCGUGAUGACGAGGCACUACGGUGCUGAAGCAACAAAUGCCCUGCUUCCAGGAAAAGCCUCUAAGCAUCAGGUAACAUCAAAUCGUACCCCAAACCGACACAGGUGGUCAGGUAGAGAAUACCAAGGCGCUUGAGAGAACUCGGGUGAAGGAACUAGGCAAAAUGGUGCCGUAACUUCGGGAGAAGGCACGCUGAUAUGUAGGUGAAGUCCCUCGCGGAUGGAGCUGAAAUCAGUCGAAGAUACCAGCUGGCUGCAACUGUUUAUUAAAAACACAGCACUGUGCAAACACGAAAGUGGACGUAUACGGUGUGACGCCUGCCCGGUGCCGGAAGGUUAAUUGAUGGGGUUAGCGCAAGCGAAGCUCUUGAUCGAAGCCCCGGUAAACGGCGGCCGUAACUAUAACGGUCCUAAGGUAGCGAAAUUCCUUGUCGGGUAAGUUCCGACCUGCACGAAUGGCGUAAUGAUGGCCAGGCUGUCUCCACCCGAGACUCAGUGAAAUUGAACUCGCUGUGAAGAUGCAGUGUACCCGCGGCAAGACGGAAAGACCCCGUGAACCUUUACUAUAGCUUGACACUGAACAUUGAGCCUUGAUGUGUAGGAUAGGUGGGAGGCUUUGAAGUGUGGACGCCAGUCUGCAUGGAGCCGACCUUGAAAUACCACCCUUUAAUGUUUGAUGUUCUAACGUNAUCCGGGUUGCGGACAGUGUCUGGUGGGUAGUUUGACUGGGGCGGUCUCCUCCUAAAGAGUAACGGAGGAGCACGAAGGUUGGCUAAUCCUGGUCGGACAUCAGGAGGUUAGUGCAAUGGCAUAAGCCAGCUUGACUGCGAGCGUGACGGCGCGAGCAGGUGCGAAAGCAGGUCAUAGUGAUCCGGUGGUUCUGAAUGGAAGGGCCAUCGCUCAACGGAUAAAAGGUACUCCGGGGAUAACAGGCUGAUACCGCCCAAGAGUUCAUAUCGACGGCGGUGUUUGGCACCUCGAUGUCGGCUCAUCACAUCCUGGGGCUGAAGUAGGUCCCAAGGGUAUGGCUGUUCGCCAUUUAAAGUGGUACGCGAGCUGGGUUUAGAACGUCGUGAGACAGUUCGGUCCCUAUCUGCCGUGGGCGCUGGAGAACUGAGGGGGGCUGCUCCUAGUACGAGAGGACCGGAGUGGACGCAUCACUGGUGUUCGGGUUGUCAUGCCAAUGGCACUGCCCGGUAGCUAAAUGCGGAAGAGAUAAGUGCUGAAAGCAUCUAAGCACGAAACUUGCCCCGAGAUGAGUUCUCCCUGAC